Molecule: ribosomal RNA, 497 nt
Filed under: uncultured bacterium
Lineage: Bacteria
Description: partial 16S ribosomal RNA
Rfam family: Bacterial small subunit ribosomal RNA
Source: RNAcentral
GACGAACGCUGGCGGCGUGCCUAAUACAUGCAAGUUGAGCGAUGAAGAUUGGUGCUUGCACCAAUUUGAAGAGCAGCGAACGGGUGAGUAACGCGUGGGGAAUCUGCCUUUGAGCGGGGGGCAACAUUUGGAAACGAAUGCUAAUACCGCAUAAUAACUUUAAACAUAAGUUUUAAGUUUGAAAGAUGCAAUUGCAUCACUCAAAGAUGAUCCCGCGUUGUAUUAGCUAGUUGGUGAGGUAAAGGCUCACCAAGGCGAUGAUACAUAGCCGACCUGAGAGGGUGAUCGGCCACAUUGGGACUGAGACACGGCCCAAACUCCUACGGGAGGCAGCAGUAGGGAAUCUUCGGCAAUGGACGAAAGUCUGACCGAGCAACGCCGCGUGAGUGAAGAAGGUUUUCGGAUCGUAAAACUCUGUUGGUAGAGAAGAACGUUGGUGAGAGUGGAAAGCUCAUCAAGUGACGGUAACUACCCAGAAAGGGACGGCUAACUACGUG